RNAcentral lists this ribosomal RNA (550 nucleotides) under uncultured bacterium. RNAcentral's name for it is "bacterial SSU rRNA". It matches the Rfam family "Bacterial small subunit ribosomal RNA", at positions 355 to 896 of the family's 1533-position model. The record is from RNAcentral.
UGGGGAAUCUUCCGCAAUGGACGAAAGUCUGACGGAGCAACGCCGCGUGAGUGAUGACGGCCUUCGGGUUGUAAAGCUCUGUUAAUCGGGACGAAUGGUUCUUGUGCGAAUAGUGCGAGGAUUUGACGGUACCGGAAUAGAAAGCCACGGCUAACUACGUGCCAGCAGCCGCGGUAAUACGUAGGUGGCAAGCGUUGUCCGGAAUUAUUGGGCGUAAAGCGCGCGCAGGCGGAUUGGUCAGUCUGUCUUAAAAGUUCGGGGCUUAACCCCGUGAUGGGAUGGAAACUGCCAAUCUAGAGUAUCGGAGAGGAAAGUGGAAUUCCUAGUGUAGCGGUGAAAUGCGUAGAUAUUAGGAAGAACACCAGUGGCGAAGGCGACUUUCUGGACGAAAACUGACGCUGAGGCGCGAAAGCCAGGGGAGCGAACGGGAUUAGAUACCCCGGUAGUCCUGGCCGUAAACGAUGGGUACUAGGUGUAGGAGGUAUCGACCCCUUCUGUGCCGGAGUUAACGCAAUAAGUACCCCGCCUGGGGAGUACGACUGCAAGGUUG